UGGGGAAUAUUGGACAAUGGGGGCAACCCUGAUCCAGCGAUGCCGCGUGUGCGAAGAAGGCCUGCGGGUUGUAAAGCACUUUGGUUGGGGAAGAAGGUUGGGCGUUGAAUAGAUGCCUGAAUUGACGUUACCCAAAGAACAAGCACCGGCUAACUCUGUGCCAGCAGCCGCGGUAAUACAGAGGGUGCGAGCGUUAAUCGGAAUCACUGGGCGUAAAGCGUGCGCAGGCGGCCGCGCAAGUCAGGUGUGAAAUCCCCGGGCUUAACCUGGGAAUUGCGCUUGAAACUAUGCGGCUAGAGUGUGGCAGAGGGGGGUGGAAUUCCACGUGUAGCAGUGAAAUGCGUAGAGAUGUGGAGGAACACCGAUGGCGAAGGCAGCCCCCUGGGCCAACACUGACGCUCAGGCACGAAAGCGUGGGGAGCAAACAGGAUUAGAUACCCAAGUAGUCCCUGAGCGGGCUGGCAAGGCG
Molecule: ribosomal RNA, 469 nt
Filed under: uncultured bacterium
Lineage: Bacteria
Description: bacterial SSU rRNA
Rfam family: Bacterial small subunit ribosomal RNA
Source: RNAcentral